UGGGGAAUAUUGGACAAUGGGGGCAACCCUGAUCCAGCCAUGCCGCGUGCGGGAAGAAGGCCUUCGGGUUGUAAACCGCUUUUGUCAGGGAAGAAAUCUCUUGGGCUAAUACCCCAGAAGGAUGACGGUACCUGAAGAAUAAGCACCGGCUAACUACGUGCCAGCAGCCGCGGUAAUACGUAGGGUGCAAGCGUUAAUCGGAAUUACUGGGCGUAAAGCGUGCGCAGGCGGUUAUGCAAGACAGGUGUGAAAUCCCCGGGCUUAACCUGGGAACUGCACUUGUGACUGCGUAGCUGGAGUACGGCAGAGGGGGAUGGAAUUCCGCGUGUAGCAGUGAAAUGCGUAGAUAUGUGGAGGAAUACCGAUGGCGAAGGCAGCCCCCUGGGAUAACACUGACGCUCAUGCACGAAAGCGUGGGGAGCAAACAGGAUUAGAUACCCGAGUAGUCCCUGAGCGGGCUGGCAAGGCGCAU
Molecule: ribosomal RNA, 472 nt
Filed under: uncultured bacterium
Lineage: Bacteria
Description: bacterial SSU rRNA
Rfam family: Bacterial small subunit ribosomal RNA
Source: RNAcentral